Molecule: long non-coding RNA, 8283 nt
Organism: Cavia porcellus (domestic guinea pig)
Lineage: Eukaryota; Metazoa; Chordata; Mammalia; Rodentia; Caviidae
Exons: 2
Source: RefSeq, a predicted model, not a curated record
CCGAGGUCUGCGUGAAAACCGCCUUGGCUGAAAUCAGAUGUAACAAGUCAUGUCUGUCUCGAACCGUUGGAUGGUAAGCCAUCAAAUGUGACAGGAGGAGAACCCAGAUGUCGCCCUAGGAGUGGAAACACUGCCUCUGAGACACAAGGAGCCUGGAUCAACAUCUUUCACUUCCAGAGACGAUCAACUGCAUUCCCACGCAGGGAUGACCCGCUGGUCCUGCGGCCCAAUCCACCAGUCUUCCGUUGCUCAUUCCCACUUCUCUGGAAUCUGCUAAGUUGCCAUCUCUUCAGAAAGACCUUUCCGGUGACCCCAUUCGUUCCCAUUACUGCCACUCUGCCUCCCGCUGUGGCUUCUUUCUUCCCCAUGAAGCUGAACAGUCCCGGAAGCUCUACAACACGUAUUUCCUUGUGUGCUGUGUGUCUCCCUGUUAGACCUGACACAUUGGUCAGGACAUUGUGCACAGCUGUGACAGGGCAGUGACUGAUGCAAAGCAUGUGCUCAACAAUAUAUGGUCCACGCCUGUGUUUUAUUCAAUUUCCUUUCACUUUGCUGUUUAGUUAAUUCAGACACAAGUGGAAUUAGCAAAUACAUCCGUGCUGUGUUAGGACAUAACAAUAAAAAUGGUAAGAUAGAUUUUGCCGUUUAUGAAUCCUAAUCUAGACCUGAAUAUAAUAAUUUGACCCCAAAAUGACACCGAAGAGAGAGUCAUAAAUAGUAUUUUUCAGUAUAUAGAGAUAAGUUAGAACCCCUGCUUGAAAGGCAGAGACAACUCGAAACUGCUUCAGCAAACAGGAGUUUAUUUGAUCACAUGUAAAAAUGUAAGACACCAUCUUCAAAGUGGGUAGGAAGGUUCAUUGAUGACAGGACAGACCACUCCCUUCCUCCACUGUCUGUCUCUGCUCUCCCCUGUGCUUUCACUCACAGAUCCCUGCCAAGACUACCAUGAGAUGAGACGACACCUGAGCUGCACGGUUACUUUCUGUCCGCAGACAGCUCUUCCCCGGAGGUCUGAUGGUUCUUACAGGAUUCUCGUUGGCCAAGCACGGCUGUGCCUCCUCAGAGCCCCUCGUCCUGGCUUCCUGCUCAGCUGCGGUUAUACACCUCCCUCUGGAUGUGAAAGGGUGAGUUUGUGAGCUGUAAGCACAAACUCUACAGGAAGCCAGUGUGUUGUUACCUGUCCCUGCCCCAACUGACAAAAUGUACAGAUCUCCAUUACUCUGUGUUGGUACCACAUUUUCUACACAUUCAGAGUUUACAUUGUCUCCUAUUUGUUGCUAGCUUUUCCCAGAAGCUAAGGAAAGGGCAGUGUCACCGAGGAAAUUAUUAUGGUUGAUACACUGUAUCAAAUUGAGAAGUUUAACUGAGAGACUGGAAGGCAGGGAGAUUUUGUGAGUGCUACACAGGCCCUGAAGGGAGAGGGUAGGUGGCCUGUGUACCAUAUAAGGGAAAAGAGGUUUUUUGUUUCUUUUUGCUCUGACUACUGCCUUGAAAUGUUGCCCCUGUGCCAUGCCACCCAGCCUUAGAGUCAGCUGAUUAUGGACUGAAACCUCCACAAAAUAAACUUUUCCUUCUUUCAUUUGGGGUGUUGGGUGUUUUGUCUCAGCAACAUGAAAAAAGUAACCAAGACAGAAUCUGUGCUAGGAAUGGGGCCAUUGCUGUGACUGUACUUGACCAUUUGGUUUAAGAACCUUUGGGAGUGGCUUGUGGGAAGAGUUUGGAAAGGUUCAGAGAUGUCACCUGAAUGAAUGGAGCUGGAAAACCCUAGGCUGUUCUGCAAGGGAGAUUCUGGUCAGAGCUCAGGAGACCAAAAGGUUGAUAGAAAACCUGCUUGUAAAGACCAGAUUUGGGAGCUUUCUACUGUUAAGAAGGACUGCAUUGGUUGUUGGACUCCACAAGAUGUAUGUUAAUGCCUGGCAGAAAGUUUGUCUGUAUUUUGCUCAUGUCCAGAGAAUCUGUCUGAGAUGGAGAGUAAAGGCUGCAGACUGAUUAAUCUGGCAGAAGAAAUUUCAAGGCAGAUGAAUGUUGGCAGUGGCAUGGCUAUUGUUGGGGGCUUUUAGCCAGAUUUAUGUUGUGAAUCAAGAGAAAAGAGCACAGAAGGUUGAUUUAAAAUAUUGUGAGAUUAGCCAGAAAGCUAUGGGUUGUAAAGAUAGAGCUGAGAUCUUUAUUACGGAGAAGGAACAGAAUAGAAAAAAAUGCCUGGGGCAUCCCAAGAAGCAUCAGGUCUCCACUCCUUGCAGCCUCAAAAUUGCAAAAGUGAAAGACUUUGCUCGGGGGAGAAAACUGCAGAGUGCCAGGUUCCAGAGUGGCGAAAGAGGCCACAGGAGGUUCCAAAAUGACAGCAACUGCACCAGAUUCCAGAAUAGUGGUGACAUAGAAAAGCUGUUCCUCACAAUCAGGUUCAGAGAGCUCAACAAUCCAGGUACUUGACCCCUCCAUCCAAGAGAGAGGGAAGACUGAUUACUUCUCCACCUGGCAGCAGACCCCAGCAUCAUCCAUGUGGUGCUGGUUUUAGAUGCACACAGAAUGCAACAGUUCUUAGGUUAAAACGCCUUUCACCUUGAUUUCAGAAGGUCUGGGAGGCCAAGCAGUGUGCCCCUGAAAGGCAGUAUGUGAAACUGUGAAUGUCAAGCCAAAGGUGCAGUGGAGACCCCAGAAGUUUGGAAAAGCCAAGCAUGUGGAUCAUCUAUGGAAACCUGCAAUGAGGGAGCAAAGCCAGCCCAAGAGAGAAGCUGUGGGAUUGAUAACCACUAGAAAUGCCACAGGGGUGGAAUCACACAAGCCCUUUGGAGCUUGCAAUUUAGAACAGAUUGCUUCAGAUGCUGGAGUGCAACUACAGGAUUUAACAUUUGCCCUGCUGGAUUUUAGACUUGAUUUGGCUCCAAUCCUUUGUACCCUCCUGUUUGUAACUUUUGGAAUGGGAAUGUUUAUCUUGUGCCUUUGCUUGUUGGAAGUGUUUAACUUUGUUUUCAUUUGCACAGGGGCUUGCAACUAAGGGUUAGCUUUCUAUCUUGGAGAAGACUUAGGAUUUGAAAUUUUCAGCAGUGCUGAAACUGUUAGGACUUUGGCAACUCUUGCAGAUGAACUAAAUGUCUUUUACAUGAAGGGAUGUACAUGAGUCUUUGGGGGGCCAAGAACAAAAUGUUAUGUUUCCAAUGUAAGAUAAUGUUGAUAGAUUUAAUGCUGGUUCCUAAGGAUUGUUAAGCUGUGUUAUAAUGUUCAAGUUGCAAAAUGUUAAGAAUAAGCAUGGCUUUGUAUCUGGAGGCUGAUUUAAAGAAAUGUGUCUGGUUGCCAAGUUGACAAGGGGUGGAUUGUUAUAGUUGAUAUAUUGUGUCAACCUGAGAAGUUUAGAAGCUUAACUGAGAGAUUCAGCAGAGAGCUGGUUUCUUACUUUGCAAAUAUCCUCAUCCUGUGCAAGAGGAGGGCAAGGAGACUUUAUGAGUGCUACACCCACCCUGAAAAGGGCUGUGUACAAUAUAAGAGAGAAGAGGCUUUUUUUCUUUUUGCUCUGGAUGCCUUGAAGUAUUGCCCCAGCACCAUACCAUCCUGCCUUAGAACAAGUUGAUUAUGGACUGAAACCUACACAAACAGUGAGCUAAAAAACUUUCCCUUCCUUCAUUUUGGGUGUGGAGUAUUUUGACUCAGCAAUGAGAAAAAAGUAACCAAGGCAGUAAUAAAAAAGAAAAAUAAAACCAUUACAUUCUUUAGGAUACUGAGUAUAAAAUUCUAUGCAAGCCGUAAUACACAAUAUUAUUUACAUGAUAAAAAUAAUUAUAUGUAAAAUUUUUAAAAUGGAUUUAGUAAAGAAAGAUGAGAUUGUUAAAACAGGUGUGCAGUUGGCAAUACAAGAUGGAAAUAGUCAGCUAUUGCUUGGAGACAACUUUGAAGACUAUGCAUUUUCUGAUGGUCCAGUUUAGCAGACUGAUAUAAUGCUGGCCACUAGAACAUAUUCUACUGUUUGUUCUCCCCUUCUGUAAAAUGCAUGCUCUCUAUCAUUUAAGGCAAUGUUAAUCAUUAAGUGCACUGUAUAUAAAUAAUAUUAUUAAUAGCUAAAAUAUAUUAGUAUGCACUGUUUAAACACAUUCCCACAUACUAAAUCCUCUAUCUCCAUGAGGUCAGGGUCGGUAGUAGGCACUUUUAUUACCUCUCUCUUGUCAUGGAGAAAAUGGAUGUCCAAAUGUUUAAGCAACUUGUCCAGGGGGUGUGGCCAGCUCCAGGUCAACUACAUGACCUCCACCCCUGCUGCAAAGAAACAGUUCAAAUCCGAAGGCCUGGCGAAGGCACCUCUGAGCUUUCAGGCCCACAAUCACUGCUUCUUUCUAGAUCUCCUAUUACACUGGCCACUGCAAACACAGUUGACAUUUUAUGCUAUCUCAGCCUUCACCUGCAACGUUCUGCUUUGUCACAUCUAAUUUUCUCUUCCAGUAAUUUAACACUUGCUCAUUCUAUCUAUUCAACGCUUGUGCAUAAUGUGGAAUUUGAAUUAUGAGUUUUCCUCCCUCUCCCAGAAACCAACAUACUUUUGAGUAUAAAACAGCUGCUCAAUACAUAGAAAUUAAUUCUCUUUGGUUACUGAAAAUUCCUUUAUGUAUAAUCAUAAAGUCUCAACUUUGGCAUUUUUUGAAACUAUCAUAAAUUUUCAUUUCCCUUGCAAGAAUGUUCAUCCUCCAUGGUUUUUACAGCUGUGGAAGAACAAGAGACAAAGCCAUGCAAGGCACAAGCAUCGUUUAUGCGACACGUACUUACAGUGGUGCAGCGUUUGAAAGCUGGUCAUGAGUACGAAAGUUCGGCUAAUAAACCCGAGGAGCUGAGAUCAUGUCUGUAUGGCCACAUCAAUGCCUCACAUGGCAACUAGUCUGGUGGCCAUUGAAUACAUUUAUCUUCAUCACUCAGUGAAUAAGAAAUUAUUUUCACAGACAAGUGAGGUGGCAAUGGUAGUUUGUUUGUUUAUUUAUUGUAUGUUUUUGUCCCCAUACAGGCAAAUGUUUUUACAUAUUUGCACACUUGAUUGCAAACUACAGAUCAUAUUCAAGCUAUUUUCAUAGAGAAUACAUUGAUUAUACCGCUCACAGAAUGCUGCGGUGGUCAGAGGAGUGGGGGUGGAAGCUGGGUGAGUGGGAAUGGACCCCACUCACCCUGCUGCUCUCAGCAUCCGCUGAGAACUGCAAUUUUCUGAGCAGAGGCUGAGCAAAGAAUGCUCCCACGGGACUUCCAUCUCCAUCGCAUAAAAAACCCGUGGAAGGAGCACAGCGGCAGCCCAGGUGUCAGCCUUUCAGUGCCACCUGAGUGAGUGAGCCUGUGCUCAGCACAGCGGGGCUGAAGAGAGCGCUGGCUUCCAGCUAGUGAGCAAAGCUUCGAAGUCAGUGGUGCCCAAGAUGGGAGAAAACUCUUUUCCAAGUUUCUGGAUUGUAUACAUGAUGACAUUUUAGUCUUCAUAGACCUUUUAGAAAAUAAAGAAAAAUUAAAAGCAAACUAACCAUACUAUUUUAAAGUGGUGAUGAUUUUCAAUGAAUGCAUAAGUCUGAAGACUGACAAGGAUCUUGAUUCUAUAACCUGAAACAAAUCCAGAUAUUUCUGUGGAAUUUACUUUAUCCCAAAGAUUAAACUGAUUCUGAGGUGAUAUUUACAAAACAAAGAAAAUGAAAUGCAAAAAAAAAGCAGAUUAAAAAAACUGACCUUCCCUCAAAGCAAAUAUAACAUAAUGAUAAAGAUAGAAGUGAUGAUGAUGAUGAUGAUGAUGAUGAUGAUGAUGAUGAUAAAGUUGAUUAUACCUUCUGUGGCUAAACACAUGGCAAAAGCAUCAUUUCUGAUUCUUACAGUGCAUUGUUAACAAAGAAAGCUCUGGCAUGUUUGAAGCUGCAGUCAGAUUUGCAUCUCACUUGGGUGACUUUUUACAUGCCAGGAACUGCCUUACAAAGUUAAUAAAGACAUAUGGCUGUGCAUCAAUUAGAGGUAUCCGUCAGCACACCAAGGCCGUGGAGGGAAUAAGUCAUGUAUAAUUGGCUAUGUUUGAGCCUCUCCCUCCAGCAAAGAGGUAAGGGCAGUGUGUGUGGGCAUGGUGCAUUUGGCACAAGCGAACUGCUCCAGUCCAGAUGGUUCAGUUGUUCAAUACGCAUGCAAAUUGCUCUCUGCAGAAUAAGCUGCUAAGACUCUUCAUUGUUUUUCCAAGGCUUCUAGAGACACUAUCCUGUCUAUGUGAGACAGAAGUGAAUCCAUUAUUUAUAUUUUGUGAUUAAAAUAAAAGAAAAAGUUUAAAUCAUCUUCAUCUCAGUAUACUAAACACACUAUGAUUUCUAUUCUUAUUGGAAAAACGUAUCUAGAAAUUUGUUCUUAUCAUUAACAAUGGUUGACUAUAAACAUCCAAAAUAUUUUCUCGCUAAACAACACCUAAGCAUUUCCUAAUUUAAUUAGUCCCAUUAUUUUAGCCCUGAAAUGAUUUAGAAACUUGUGAAACAUUUUGGCACAUUGGGAUAAAAUUUCUCAUAUUAACUCAUGUUUUUUUUUUCAGUCGUUUAAGUUUUUGAGACACUGUGUGUUUAUUUCCAACUCCUGGGCCCAAAUGAACCUCCUGUCUCAGCCUAAGUAGCUGAGAGUAUAGUCAUGUGCCACCAUGCUUGGUGUUAUUAGCUCAUAUUUUAAAAAGAAUAUAAGGUGGAUAGAUUUUCUCUUUCAACUCAUGUGAGUACCAUUUAGCCAUAAGUACCAGAUCCUUCAGAGCAAUGGAGAAAUUAACUCUUAUCAACCACAUGAACCUAAGAACAAUUUUUUUCCUGACCUCUUAUGAAAUUCUGAGAAUCCAUUAAUCCUGUGGUAGUCCAUAUGAUAAUUUGAAGGCUUAGUAUGACCAGAUUUAGUGCCAGAGAUGGGGUCCUGCUGUUGUUCCCUGAGCUUCAGACACUGUACUAGAAAUCUUAAACAACAGUGAUAACAUAUUGUUGUUGAACAAAUAUUAGCUAAAUUUUUCUGAGCAUAUUUCAUGCCAGACUAUUCUAAACACUUUUCAUGCAUUGCCACCUUUAUCAUUGUUGUGGCCUUAUUUAAAUAGAUAUUCUCGACAGUGCCAUUCUACUGAGCAGGACAAGGCACAGAGAAAGUCCAGCAACUCACUUGAGAGCACCACUGCUGAGUGGGAGAGCUAGAGUUUCAACAUGCAGUUCGGCUUCAAGUUUUCCUUCUCAGAACUGAAGAAGGCUCAGUGACCUAAAUUGAGAAAAAUGACCCCUCCAGACCUUCUAAGUACGUGGAAAAGCUAUCUGUCAUUUCUUUUUUCCUGAAAGGCCAGAAAUCAUGAAACUGUUAGCACAGAACUGGUUUAUUGUCUUCCAUUAAAUCGGUGGAAGCACACAACACUGGUGCUUCUGUUGAAAUUUCCUGUUUACUUAUUUCUCAGUGAAAGGGAUCCUCUCAGUGGGCUGUGCUCCUGCAGGGCGCAGUUGUGUGAGCUGACAUUCCUCGAAGCAAGCAGAGACCAUGUUAUCAUCAUCACGCACACUGACUGACUAGAAACGCAACCAUUCACUAAGCAAAUCUGGUUUUUUCUUUCUCAAGAGCAAAAUCCUUUUACUCCAAAUAUGACUUGACAUACAACAGACCACAGUGAAAAAGACCGGAAGAACAAUGAAAGUGACUAAAAAAUUUAAGCAUAUAAUCUAACAUCUGCUAACCCCUCCCCUGUAAUCUAAUAGAAGACAUUGAGUCUCAUAUCCAUAGUUGAGCAAUUAUCACAUGUUCAUGUAGCUGACAAGUAUAAUUUUAUGUGGACUACAGUUUAACUUCAUUAAAUGCUUAGCCAAAAUGAUAAUGCUGCUUAGAACAGCCAACUAAUAGAUGUAAAAAACAAAUAAGCUCAUUCAGCAUGAAGUAUAAAAUGAAAAACCAUCCAUGGGAUUAAAAAAAUAGAGUAGCAACUCAUUGUUCUAACUUUUAUGGAUUUUUCUCUAAUGUAACGGGUUCAGAUUUUAGACACUAUUCAUUAGAACUGUGAUAAAAAAUUUGAAUAAUUACCAUGAAGAAAUGUGCUCAAUUAUGUUGUAUCAGCUUCAUAUAUAUGUGUGUGUCUCUGUGUGUGCAUAUAGUCUACAGGCCAUACAUAUACAUGCAUGUGUAUAUGUAUAUAUGUAUAUAUGUAGCCAAAAAUGUCUGCCCAAAAAUAUAUAUACACAGUUCAGCAGUUUGCUGUACUAAUAAAUAUCUGGAAGCUAAUGGUCACCACUUGGUAAUUGUAGAGGCCAAAGAUAACUUAUAUUAAUCUCAUAAAGUCUCAAUAAACUUUAUAUUAAAAUA